Calidris pugnax (ruff) is the source of this 497-nucleotide long non-coding RNA. RefSeq lists it as uncharacterized. The record is from RefSeq and is a predicted model, not a curated record. The transcript has 3 exons. Lineage: Eukaryota; Metazoa; Chordata; Aves; Charadriiformes; Scolopacidae.
AGGAUGGACCCAGGACGCCUCAGGAUGGACCCGGGACCCCCUGAAACGACCCCAAGACCCUUCAGGAUGUCACCGUGACCCCGUGAGACCCCCGUGCCGUGUUCCCCCCUCCCAGGAGGAGGAAGAGGAUGAUGAGGAGGAUGAGGAGGAGCGGUGUCACCGCAGCAUCGUGGCCUGGUUCUCCGACCACCCCCGCGCCCCCUUCGGGAUCCAUCGCCUGGUGGAGCUGGGCCGCGGCGCCGGCAAAAAAGCCGGGGAUUGGUACGGACCCUCCAUCGCCGCCCACAUCCUGAGGAAGGCAGUGGAUUCCUGCCCGGAGACCCUCGGUCUCUCCGUCUACGUCUCCCAGGAUUGCACUGUUUACAAAGGGGACGUGGCGGGGCUGGUGCGGGGGGACGGUGGAGCCCCCCAGGCCGGGCGGCGGCGUCGGGCCGUGGUGAUCCUGGUGCCUGUCAGGUUGGGGGGGGACAGGCUGAACCCCGUCUACGUGGAUUGUG